RNAcentral lists this ribosomal RNA (460 nucleotides) under uncultured bacterium. RNAcentral describes it as "partial 16S ribosomal RNA". It matches the Rfam family "Bacterial small subunit ribosomal RNA", at positions 338 to 795 of the family's 1533-position model. The record is from RNAcentral.
CCUACGGGCGGCUGCAGUGAGGAAUAUUGGUCAAUGGACGAGAGUCUGAACCAGCCAAGUAGCGUGAAGGAUGACUGCCCUAUGGGUUGUAAACUUCUUUUAUAUGGGAAUAAAAUGUUCCACGUGUGGGAUUUUGUAUGUACCCUAUGAAUAAGGAUCGGCUAACUCCGUGCCAGCAGCCGCGGUAAUACGGAGGAUCCGAGCGUUAUCCGGAUUUAUUGGGUUUAAAGGGAGCGUAGGUGGAUUGUUAAGUCAGUUGUGAAAGUUUGCGGCUCAACCGUAAAAUUGCAGUUGAAACUGGCAGUCUUGAGUACAGUAGAGGUGGGCGGAAUUCGUGGUGUAGCGGUGAAAUGCUUAGAUAUCACGAAGAACUCCGAUUGCGAAGGCAGUUCACUGGACUGCAACUGACACUGAGGCUCGAAAGUGUGGGUAUCAAACAGGAUUAGAUACCCGAGUAGUC